CUCUCGGCAACGGAUAUCUCGGCUCUCGCAUCGAUGAAGAACGUAGCGAAAUGCGAUACCUGGUGUGAAUUGCAGAAUCCCGUGAACCACCGAGUCUUUGAACGCAAGUUGCGCCCGAGGCCAUCCGGCUAAGGGCACGCCUACCUGGGCAUCAC
Molecule: ribosomal RNA, 155 nt
Filed under: Musa hybrid cultivar
Lineage: Eukaryota; Viridiplantae; Streptophyta; Magnoliopsida; Zingiberales; Musaceae
Description: 5.8S ribosomal RNA
Rfam family: 5.8S ribosomal RNA
About the family: 5.8S ribosomal RNA (5.8S rRNA) is a component of the large subunit of the eukaryotic ribosome. It is transcribed by RNA polymerase I as part of the 45S precursor that also contains 18S and 28S rRNA.
Source: RNAcentral